This 274-nucleotide ribosomal RNA is filed under the name uncultured bacterium. RNAcentral describes it as "partial 16S ribosomal RNA". It matches the Rfam family "Bacterial small subunit ribosomal RNA", at positions 523 to 796 of the family's 1533-position model. The record is from RNAcentral.
AUACGGAGGGUGCAAGCGUUAUCCGGAUUCAUUGGGUUUAAAGGGUCCGUAGGCGGGAAUCUAAGUCAGUGGCGAAAUCUUGCAGCUCAACUGUAAAAUUGCUAUUGAUACUGGAUUUCUUGAAUUAGUGUGAAGUGGUUAGAAUGUGUAGUGUAGCGGUGAAAUGCAUAGAUAUUACACAGAAUACCAAUUGCGAAGGCAGAUCACUAACACUAUAUUGACGCUGAGGGACGAAAGCGUGGGGAGCGAACAGGAUUAGAAACCCCUGUAGUCC